GGGUUGUGAGGUUAAGCGACUAAGCGUACACGGUGGAUGCCCUGGCAGUCAGAGGCGAUGAAGGACGUGCUAAUCUGCGAAAAGCGUCGGUAAGGUGAUAUGAACCGUUAUAGCCGGCGAUGUCCGAAUGGGGAAACCCAGUGCAAUUCGUUGCACUAUCGUUAACUGAAUACAUAGGUUAACGAGGCGAACCGGGGGAACUGAAACAUCUAAGUACCCCGAGGAAAAGAAAUCAACCGAGAUUCCCCCAGUAGCGGCGAGCGAACGGGGAGCAGCCCAGAGUCUGAAUCAGCUUGUGUGUUAGUGGAACGGUCUGGAAAGUCCGACGGUACAGGGUGAUAGUCCCGUACACCAAAAUGCACAGGCUGUGAACUCGAAGAGUAGGGCGGGACACGUGGUAUCCUGUCUGAAUAUGGGGGGACCAUCCUCCAAGGCUAAAUACUCCUGACUGACCGAUAGUGAACCAGUACCGUGAGGGAAAGGCGAAAAGAACCCCGGCGAGGGGAGUGAAAAAGAACCUGAAACCGUGUACGUACAAGCAGUGGGAGCACCUUCGGGUGUGACUGCGUACCUUUUGUAUAAUGGGUCAGCGACUUAUAUUCUGUAGCAAGGUUAACCGUAUAGGGGAGCCGCAGGGAAACCGAGUCUUAACUGGGCGUUAAGUUGCAGGGUAUAGACCCGAAACCCGGUGAUCUAGCCAUGGGCAGGUUGAAGGUUGGGUAACACUAACUGGAGGACCGAACCGACUAAUGUUGAAAAAUUAGCGGAUGACUUGUGGCUGGGGGUGAAAGGCCAAUCAAACCGGGAGAUAGCUGGUUCUCCCCGAAAGCUAUUUAGGUAGCGCCUCGUGAACUCAUCUUCGGGGGUAGAGCACUGUUUCGGCUAGGGGGUCAUCCCGACUUACCAACCCGAUGCAAACUACGAAUACCGAAGAAUGUUAUCACGGGAGACACACGGCGGGUGCUAACGUCCGUCGUGAAGAGGGAAACAACCCAGACCGCCAGCUAAGGUCCCAAAGUCAUGGUUAAGUGGGAAACGAUGUGGGAAGGCACAGACAGCCAGGAUGUUGGCUUAGAAGCAGCCAUCAUUUAAAGAAAGCGUAAUAGCUCACUGGUCGAGUCGGCCUGCGCGGAAGAUGUAACGGGGCUAAACCAUGCACCGAAGCUGCGGCAGCGACACUAUGUGUUGUUGGGUAGGGGAGCGUUCUGUAAGCCUGCGAAGGUGACCUGUGAGGGUUGCUGGAGGUAUCAGAAGUGCGAAUGCUGACAUAAGUAACGAUAAAGCGGGUGAAAAGCCCGCUCGCCGGAAGACCAAGGGUUCCUGUCCAACGUUAAUCGGGGCAGGGUGAGUCGACCCCUAAGGCGAGGCCGAAAGGCGUAGUCGAUGGGAAACAGGUUAAUAUUCCUGUACUUGGUGUUACUGCGAAGGGGGGACGGAGAAGGCUAUGUUAGCCGGGCGACGGUUGUCCCGGUUUAAGCAUGUAGGCUGGUUAUCCAGGCAAAUCCGGAUAAUCAAGGCUGAGGUGUGAUGACGAGGCACUACGGUGCUGAAGUAACAAAUGCCCUGCUUCCAGGAAAAGCCUCUAAGCAUCAGGUAACAUCAAAUCGUACCCCAAACCGACACAGGUGGUCAGGUAGAGAAUACCAAGGCGCUUGAGAGAACUCGGGUGAAGGAACUAGGCAAAAUGGUGCCGUAACUUCGGGAGAAGGCACGCUGGUGUGUAGGUGAAGUCCCUGCGGAUGGAGCUGAGACCAGUCGAAGAUACCAGCUGGCUGCAACUGUUUAUUAAAAACACAGCACUGUGCAAACACGAAAGUGGACGUAUACGGUGUGACGCCUGCCCGGUGCCGGAAGGUUAAUUGAUGGGGUUAUCCGUAAGGAGAAGCUCUUGAUCGAAGCCCCGGUAAACGGCGGCCGUAACUAUAACGGUCCUAAGGUAGCGAAAUUCCUUGUCGGGUAAGUUCCGACCUGCACGAAUGGCGUAAUGAUGGCCAGGCUGUCUCCACCCGAGACUCAGUGAAAUUGAACUCGCUGUGAAGAUGCAGUGUACCCGCGGCAAGACGGAAAGACCCCGUGAACCUUUACUAUAGCUUGACACUGAACAUUGAGCCUUGAUGUGUAGGAUAGGUGGGAGGCUUUGAAGCGUGGACGCCAGUCUGCGUGGAGCCAACCUUGAAAUACCACCCUUUAAUGUUUGAUGUUCUAACGUUGGCCCCUUACCGGGGUUGCGGACAGUGUCUGGUGGGUAGUUUGACUGGGGCGGUCUCCUCCCAAAGCGUAACGGAGGAGCACGAAGGUUAGCUAAUCCUGGUCGGACAUCAGGAGGUUAGUGCAAUGGCAUAAGCUAGCUUGACUGCGAGCGUGACGGCGCGAGCAGGUGCGAAAGCAGGUCAUAGUGAUCCGGUGGUUCUGAAUGGAAGGGCCAUCGCUCAACGGAUAAAAGGUACUCCGGGGAUAACAGGCUGAUACCGCCCAAGAGUUCAUAUCGACGGCGGUGUUUGGCACCUCGAUGUCGGCUCAUCACAUCCUGGGGCUGAAGUAGGUCCCAAGGGUAUGGCUGUUCGCCAUUUAAAGUGGUACGCGAGCUGGGUUUAGAACGUCGUGAGACAGUUCGGUCCCUAUCUGCCGUGGGCGCUGGAGAAUUGAGGGGGGCUGCUCCUAGUACGAGAGGACCGGAGUGGACGCAUCACUGGUGUUCGGGUUGUCAUGCCAAUGGCACUGCCCGGUAGCUAAAUGCGGAAGAGAUAAGUGCUGAAAGCAUCUAAGCACGAAACUUGCCCCGAGAUGAGUUCUCCCUGAGACUUUAAGUCUCCUGAAGGAACGUUGAAGACGACGACGUUGAUAGGCCGGGUGUGUAAGCGCAGCGAUGCGUUGAGCUAACCGGUACUAAUGAACCGUGAGGCUUAACCUUACAACGCCGAAG
This 2923-nucleotide ribosomal RNA is filed under the name Klebsiella pneumoniae subsp. pneumoniae. RNAcentral's name for it is "23S ribosomal RNA". It matches the Rfam family "Bacterial large subunit ribosomal RNA". Lineage: Bacteria; Pseudomonadati; Pseudomonadota; Gammaproteobacteria; Enterobacterales; Enterobacteriaceae. The record is from RNAcentral.